RNAcentral lists this ribosomal RNA (464 nucleotides) under Vreelandella stevensii. RNAcentral's name for it is "partial 16S ribosomal RNA". It matches the Rfam family "Bacterial small subunit ribosomal RNA", at positions 339 to 795 of the family's 1533-position model. The record is from RNAcentral. Lineage: Bacteria; Pseudomonadati; Pseudomonadota; Gammaproteobacteria; Oceanospirillales; Halomonadaceae.
CUACGGUGGGCAGCAGUGGGGAAUAUUGGACAAUGGGCGAAAGCCUGAUCCAGCCAUGCCGCGUGUGUGAAGAAGGCCUUCGGGUUGUAAAGCACUUUCAGUGGGGAAGAAAGCCUUGGGGCUAAUACCCUCGAGGAAGGACAUCACCCACAGAAGAAGCACCGGCUAACUCCGUGCCAGCAGCCGCGGUAAUACGGAGGGUGCGAGCGUUAAUCGGAAUUACUGGGCGUAAAGCGCGCGUAGGCGGUCUGAUAAGCCGGUUGUGAAAGCCCCGGGCUCAACCUGGGAACGGCAUCCGGAACUGUCAGGCUAGAGUGCAGGAGAGGAAGGUAGAAUUCCCGGUGUAGCGGUGAAAUGCGUAGAGAUCGGGAGGAAUACCAGUGGCGAAGGCGGCCUUCUGGACUGACACUGACGCUGAGGUGCGAAAGCGUGGGUAGCAAACAGGAUUAGAUACCCCGGUAGUC